Molecule: long non-coding RNA, 874 nt
Filed under: Pan troglodytes (chimpanzee)
Lineage: Eukaryota; Metazoa; Chordata; Mammalia; Primates; Hominidae
Description: lincRNA
Source: RNAcentral
UGCUCUACCAUUUGGUACUGUCAGCGUUUUGGAUAUUAGCCGUCCUAAUAGGUGCAAUGAAUGUGUCCUGCUCUUACUUGGGAUAAGUUCAAAAAUAAAUGCAAUUGAAAAAAAAUCUCCUGGGGCCGGGCGUGGUGGCUCACGCCUGUAAUCCUAGCACUUUGGGAGGCCGAAGUGGGCAGAUCAUGAGGUCAAGAAAUCGAGACUAUCCUGGCCAACAUGGUGAAACCUCAUCUCUCGUAAAAAUACAAAAAAUUAGCUGAGUAUGGUGGCACAUGUCUGUAAUCCCAGCUACUCGGGAGGCUGAGGCAGGAGAAUGGCUUGAACCCGGGAGGCAGAGGUUGCAGUGAGCCAAGAUCGUGCCACUGCACUCCAGCUUGGGUGACAGGGCUCAGACUCCGUCUAAACAAACAAAAAAAAUCUCCUGGAAGUCCCAUUGGAUCUUGGUUACAUGAGCUUACUAGAGAAUUUUGUUGUUCCCAACAUUAGCUGAGAAAUGUACUCUAAGAAGUGAAUAGACUAAAGUGGAACCAGGGUGCAGUGGAGAACGAGAGCUGUUAUCUAGAAAACCUUUCUCAGGCAUGUUUCAGCACACUCUGCUCCUGACGAUGGCUCUAUCAUCAAAGAAUUCUGUGGUCAGGUGUAUGGGAUAUGCUGCAUAGGCUCCCUAUGAGCCUCCAAAUUGUAAGUUAAAGGCUCUGAGAGUUUGGGAGUAAGUAGAAGACUCCUGGUCACAUUUGUUUAACCCAGUGUUUCCCAAACUCAUUUGGCCUUGGAACUCUAUUUCUUGGGACAUUUAUUAGCUGCUGGUGGAACCAGUGUUCAAAAAAUUACUCCCUAGACAAUUUAGGCAAAACAUCUUUUCUAUAAAUAA